GUGUCUUAAGGUAAGAACAGGGCACUUCUACUGCUGGUACUGUAUUGUUAACAUGAAAUAUACCGGCUGACUUUUAUUCCAUACUCCUUUUAAACACCCUGCGCUGAACAGAUAGCCUACAGUAUAUACUUCAAAGGAUACUACUCCGGAGGCCACGAGACUGUUCCAAUGGGACUUAAAGGGAGACUGAGGAGGUCCCCAGAUCCUUAAAAGGGUCUACAGCUGCACCAUCAAGAGCAUCCUGACCGGUUGCAUCACCGCCUGGUAUGGCAACUGCUCGGCAUCUGACCGUAAAGCAUCUACAGAGGGUAGUGCGAACGGCCCAGUACAUCACUGGGGCCAAGCUUCCUGCCAUCCAGGACCUAUAUAAUCGGCGGUAUCAGAGGGAAGCCUGUAAAAUUGUCAUAGACUCCAGUCACCCAAGUUAUAGACUGUUUUCUCUGCUACCACACAUCAAGCAAUACCGGAGCGCCAGGUCUAGGACCAAAAGACUCCUCAACAGCUUCUAUUGCCACCAAUUUACAUUGAAACCCCUCCCCCUCCCUUUGUACACUGCUACUCACUGUUUGUUUGUUAUCUAUGCAUAGUCACUUCUCCCCCACCUACAUGUACAGAUUACCUCAACGAGCCUGUAACCCUGCACACUGACUCUGUACCGGUGCCCCCUGCCCUGUAUAUAGCCUCGUUAUUGUUAUUCUUAUUGUGUUACUUUUUAUUUUAGCCUACUAGGUAAAUCUUUUCUUAACUCUUCUUGAACUGCACUGCUGGUUAAGGGCUUGUAAGUAAGCAUUUCACGGUAAAGUCUAAACUUGUUGGAUUAGACGCAUGUGACAAAUAAAGUUUGAUUUG
Molecule: long non-coding RNA, 849 nt
Organism: Oncorhynchus masou masou (cherry salmon)
Lineage: Eukaryota; Metazoa; Chordata; Actinopteri; Salmoniformes; Salmonidae
Exons: 2
Source: RefSeq, a predicted model, not a curated record